UCUGGUUGAUCCCGCCGGAGGUCACUGCUAUUGGGAUUCGACUAAGCCAUGCGAGUCGUGAGGGUUCGGCCCUCGGCAGACGGCUCCAGUAACACGUAGAUAAUUUGCCCUUAGGUGGAGGAUACCCUCGGGAAACUGAGAAAUAAUACUCCAUAGAUCUAAACUGCUGGAAUGCUUUUAGAUUGAAAGAUUUAUCGCCUAAGGAUAAGUCUGCGGACUAUCAGGUUGUAGUUAGGGUAAAUACCUGACUAGCCUACGACGGAUACGGGUAGUGAGAGCUUUAGCCCGGAGAUGAUAUCUGAGACACGAUAUCAGGCCCUACGGGGCGCAGCAGGCGCGAAAACUUCGCACUGUGCGAAAGCACGACGAGGGAAUCCCAAGUGCUGGCUCGUAAGAGUCAGCUGUUUCUCUGUCUAAAAAACAGGGAGAGUAAGAGCUGGGUAAGACGGGUGCCAGCCGCCGCGGUAAUACCUGCAGCUCAAGUGGUGGCCGCUAUUAUUGGGCCUAAAACGUCCGUAGCCGGUUUCAUAAAUGCCUGGGUAAAUCAUACGGCUUAACCGUAUGAAUUCCGGGUAGACUGUUUAACUUGAGACCGGGAGAGGCUAGAGGUACUCCUGGGGUAGAGGUGAAAUUCUGUAAUCCUAGGGGGACCACCAGUGGCGAAGGCGUCUAGCUAGAACGGGUCUGACGGUGAGGGACGAAGCCCUGGGGAGCAAACGGGAUUAGAUACCCCGGUAGUCCAGGGUGUAAACGCUGCUCGCUUGAUGUUAGUCGGGCUCCGAGCCCAACUAGUGUCGGAGAGAAGUUGUUAAGCGAGCUGCCUGGGGAGUACGGUCGCAAGACUGAAGCUUAAAGGAAUUGGCGGGGGAGCAC
This 873-nucleotide ribosomal RNA is filed under the name euryarchaeote enrichment culture clone 61-28F. Its description in RNAcentral is "bacterial SSU rRNA". It matches the Rfam family "Archaeal small subunit ribosomal RNA", at positions 1 to 879 of the family's 1478-position model. Lineage: Archaea; Methanobacteriati; Methanobacteriota. The record is from RNAcentral.